GAUGAAGAACGUAGCGAAAUGCGAUACUUGGUGUGAAUUGCAGAAUCCCGUGAACCAUCGAGUCUUUGAACGCAAGUUGCGCCUCAAGCCAUUAGGUUGAGGGCACGUCUGCCUGGGCGUCACAUAUCGUUGCCUGAUGCCAGUUUCCUCGUGAUGGGUGACUGUGCAGGGCGAAUGAUGGCUUCCCGUGAGCAUUGUUGCCUCAUGGUUGGUUGAAAAUUGAGACCUUGGUAGGGAGCGCCGUGAUAGAUGGUGGUUGAGUGACGAACGAGACCCAAUCAUGUGAGACCCCUACCGAAUUUGGCCUUCAUGACCCACAUGCGUCUUUGGAACGCUCAUGACGAGACCUCAGGUCAGGCGGGGCUACCCGCUGAGUUUAAGCAUAUCAAUAAGCGGAGGA
Molecule: unclassified non-coding RNA, 400 nt
Filed under: soil metagenome
Description: partial contains 5.8S ribosomal RNA, internal transcribed spacer 2, and large subunit ribosomal RNA
Rfam family: 5.8S ribosomal RNA (bases 1-122)
Source: RNAcentral